AGAGUUUGAUCAUGGCUCAGAUUGAACGCUGGCGGAAUGCUUUACACAUGCAAGUCGAACGGCAGCACGGGGCAACCUGGUGGCGAGUGGCGAACGGGUGAGUAAUACAUCGGAACGUGCCCAAUCGUGGGGGGUAACGUAGCGAAAGUUACGCUAAUACCGCAUACGAUCUACGGAUGAAAGCGGGGGAUCGCAAGACCUCGCGCGAGUGGAGCGGCCGAUGUCAGAUUAGGUAGUUGGUGGGUAAAGGCUCACCAAGCCAACGAUCUGUAGCUGGUCUGAGAGGACGACCAGCCACACUGGAACUGAGACACGGUCCAGACUCCUACGGGAGGCAGCAGUGGGGAAUUUUGGACAAUGGGCGCAAGCCUGAUCCAGCCAUUCCGCGUGCAGGAUGAAGGCCUUCGGGUUGUAAACUGCUUUUGUACGGAACGAAACGGCGAGCUCUAAUACAGUUUGCUAAUGACGGUACCGUAAGAAUAAGCACCGGCUAACUACGUG
RNAcentral lists this ribosomal RNA (501 nucleotides) under uncultured bacterium. Its description in RNAcentral is "bacterial SSU rRNA". It matches the Rfam family "Bacterial small subunit ribosomal RNA", at positions 8 to 507 of the family's 1533-position model. The record is from RNAcentral.